RNAcentral lists this non-coding RNA (89 nucleotides) under Spiroplasma taiwanense. Its description in RNAcentral is "TPP sequence". It matches the Rfam family "TPP riboswitch aptamer (THI element)". Rfam says of the family: Vitamin B(1) in its active form thiamin pyrophosphate (TPP) is an essential coenzyme that is synthesised by coupling of pyrimidine and thiazole moieties in bacteria. The previously detected thiamin-regulatory element, thi box was extended, resulting in a new, highly conserved RNA secondary structure, the THI element, which is widely distributed in eubacteria and also occurs in some archaea. Analysis of operon structures identified a large number of new candidate thiamin-regulated genes, mostly transporters, in various prokaryotic organisms. Lineage: Bacteria; Bacillati; Mycoplasmatota; Mollicutes; Entomoplasmatales; Spiroplasmataceae. RNAcentral also lists the same sequence under 1 other name. The record is from RNAcentral.
UGAAAAAGGCAGAGGUAGCAAUUGCUUGAGAAAUACUCUUAGAACCUGAUCUAGUUAAUACUAGCGUAGGAAGUCCUUUAUAAAGACAA